RNAcentral lists this long non-coding RNA (1256 nucleotides) under Hordeum vulgare. Its description in RNAcentral is "long non-coding RNA (HVUL_LNC019562)". Lineage: Eukaryota; Viridiplantae; Streptophyta; Magnoliopsida; Poales; Poaceae. The record is from RNAcentral.
AAAAAAGUUGUUGUUAUUCCUUAGCCAACACAUUGUAGAAUAUAUCCGAUUUUUCAUUCCUGGACCUUUUUAUUUUGAGGGAACAUGAUGGAAUUCGUGAGCGGCGGAGCACAUAACAAUGCGGUGGGUUGGUGAGAGACCGACCCCUGACCUGUUGGCCUUGGGCAAAUAGUUUCCUAAAAAAAGGCUCACAAUACGACUAAGUUUUCAGGCUCCACGUGGUAAACAUGGCUUCAUCAUAUAAGUUUCUACGGUCGCCUAGCCCGGAGUUUUAUAAAUUUUUGGCUCUUUCAUCUUCUGUUCAUUUGCUUGAGGUUCUUCAGACAGCUCAAUGCGCUCGCGUAGCUUCUCGUUGACCUUAUUGUAUUGGUCCCAUCGAAGCAGCACCAACCUCUUAACCAUGUCACCAAUAGAGGUGUCUUGGCGCACGUCAUUCCUAACAUCUGAGACAAACAUAAAAAACAUUUAGUGGGACAUGAUAGAGCAAUGUACUUGCAAAAACAAAUACGUGGAUAAAAAGUUACCGUCUAAAUCACAGCCUAUAGGGCCAUCUUUGGGUGCCGGGAAGUGUUCGAAUGUGAGCGUGGACGCGUCAGUCCCAAGAAGGGACCCUGAUAUACAUUCACAGAUACUUGAUAUAGCGGCAAGAAAAAAUUAGAUGAAUAACAAAAUUAAAGUAAUAAUCUUACUCGAUGUAUGAUCAACCUCCAUGUUGUAGGCCUUAAGAACAGCACGGUUACACUCUGCUUGCUGGAGAUCUUCUUUGUAUAAAUUAAGUGUCUUUCCAAAAAUUCUGAGAAAAAUUAUAUCAUAACUGCUGGCAACUAUUGCUAUUUCUCGCAUUCCAUCUGGAGCAUAGCAAUCUAUCUCAGGAGGACCGACAUACAUGACCACACCCGUGACAUCUAAAAAUGGAGGUCGGUUUGAUGAUAAUCGCUGGCUAAAGAUAAUGUUUAAAGCAAGAUUAGAAUGAAAUUAGAAAUAAUACCGGUGAGCGAGCCCUCCUCCAGAUCAAGAACAUCCAUAUGCAUUAAUAAUGUGAACAUUUUUUUGUGAGUUGAUUAGAAUCAUGAUCGAUUCUGAAUUGAACAUCCAUCUACAGUACAUCGAAUCCAUUGUACUUUGAGUGACCAAAUGAUGAAAAUUCGACAGCAGGGUCUCGUGCGACAUUACCUCUGAACCGUAGGCGAUGUGAGCAGAGUGUAGUCAAAAGCCUACCUGCUUGAUGAUAGUGAGUUUCUCGAACUACAAUGUUG